GAGAGAGAGAGAGGAAGAGAGAGAGAGAGAGAGAGAGAGAGAGAGAGAGAGAGGGAGAGAGGAGACAAAGAAAGACAGCCAUCAACACAGACAGAAAAAUGCUAGCAAGGUUGCCAUGACUGCGUUGCCAUGGUAACUACAGGAAUAUGUAGUUCUCUGGAUUUGAGAUAUUUUCUCUCUCUCUCUCUCUCUCUCUCUCUCUCUCUCUCUCUCUCUCUCUCUCUCUCUCUCUCUCUCUCUCUCUCUCUCUCUCUCUCUCUCUCUCUCUCUCUUCUCUCUCUCUCUAACUCUCUCUCUCUCUCUCUCUCUCUCUCUCUCUCUCUCUCUCUCUCUCUAACUCUCUUUCUCUCGCUUUCUUGGUCCUCUAUUCCUUUCCCAAGAGUGUUUACCACUGGAUGAGAACUGCUGAGGUUCAGAUCUAAUUCCAUGUGAGCUGUAAUGAAAGAAUAUUAGCAGCUAAAUAAAAUAAAUCAUUUCCUGUUCUAUCAAAA
This is a long non-coding RNA of Silurus meridionalis, 491 nucleotides long. RefSeq lists it as uncharacterized. Lineage: Eukaryota; Metazoa; Chordata; Actinopteri; Siluriformes; Siluridae. The record is from RefSeq and is a predicted model, not a curated record. The transcript is spliced from 2 exons.